This 254-nucleotide ribosomal RNA is filed under the name uncultured bacterium. RNAcentral's name for it is "partial 16S ribosomal RNA". It matches the Rfam family "Bacterial small subunit ribosomal RNA", at positions 524 to 776 of the family's 1533-position model. The record is from RNAcentral. RNAcentral also lists the same sequence under 1 other name.
UACGUAGGAGGCGAGCGUUGUCCGGAAUUACUGGGCGUAAAGAGCGCGUAGGCGGCACGGUACGACCGGUGUGAAAGCCCCCGGCUCAACUGGGGAGGGUCACUGGUAACGGCCGAGCUUGGAGUACAGGAGAGGGAAGUGGAACUCCGGGAGUAGCGGUGAAAUGCGUAGAUACCCGGAGGAACACCAGUGGCGAAGGCGGCUUCCUGGCCUGUGACUGACGCUGUGGCGCGAAAGCUAGGGGAGCGAACGGG